Pogoniulus pusillus (Red-fronted tinkerbird) is the source of this 1030-nucleotide long non-coding RNA. RefSeq lists it as uncharacterized. The transcript has 5 exons. The record is from RefSeq and is a predicted model, not a curated record. NCBI's taxonomy places the organism in Eukaryota, Metazoa, Chordata, Aves, Piciformes, Lybiidae.
UUUUUUUUUUCCCCCUUCUUCUUUUGCAUUUGGUUUUGCAAAGAGAUUUGGCAAACAGCAGAGCCAUCAAGGGCAGGGCAGCUAUAAGAGUCGGGGACUGUCUGCUUCUCCAGCUGACUUCAUACCUUUGAAGAGUGCAAGUGAAGUUCUCCUCUUCUCCCUGAAGAAAAUGAAUCUUUCAAUAUUCCUGGCCCUCCCUCCUCCUCCUCCUAAUGUUGUUGGUGUGGGCUCCUUGUAUGCUCCUCUGCGCUCUACCAAGGUGCAAAAUUUGACUUGUCCACUUUCUCCUGUCCAUGGGAUGCUCCCUCCAGUCCUAUCUGAAACUGAGUGUUUAAGGGCCAGUUUUCCCAGCAGCAGAGCAUAUGCAGCAAUAAACAUCUUCUCCAGUUGAUUAAGCACCAUAGCUGAGUCGUUCAGCUUCCACAGAAGCUGUUUAUUGCAGCAAUGAGCUCUCCUGAGCAAUUCCAAAGGUGGGAAGGAGGAGGAAACCUGCAGUGCACGCAAGCAUACUUCUUGCUGAAGAAAGGCAAUGAGUAGAGAGCCAAUUGUGUCGUUGAUCCCCAGCUCACACUGGACAGACAUUUGAGUUCAGGAUAUCUUCUAUCAGGUAUUUUUAACAGCAUUCAUUUGACUCUGUAAGGGGUAACAAAGAAAUGCUUUGGUUUCAUCCCCUUGAGUCAGAACUGGUCAGUGAAACGAUGCUGGUUUGACAACCCAAACCCAUUGCAAGCAGUUUAGCAAACUGGACCAUCCAAUGAUUUUCUUGCAAUUUGAAAGGGAAAUUUCUGCUGUGUCAUGCAGCUGAUUGAUUAAAAGAAAAUAUCCAGAAGAAGUAAUACAAAUAUGGGAGGAGGAGGAGGAGGGGAUUGGACUUCUGCUGUGCUGCUGUUUCUGGGUCUGCUAGCCUGGAACUGAUUAGUCAGGUAGCAGCAUGAAAUUCUCUUCUGCAUGAUGUUGAUGUAAAUUUAAAUGCUUUUCAAAGACAUCUUAGUUAGGUUAAAUAAAUAAAUAAAGCAGAACUAGGGAAAAA